RNAcentral lists this transfer RNA (82 nucleotides) under Oryctolagus cuniculus (rabbit). It matches the Rfam family "tRNA". Rfam says of the family: Transfer RNA (tRNA) molecules are approximately 80 nucleotides in length. Their secondary structure includes four short double-helical elements and three loops (D, anti-codon, and T loops). Lineage: Eukaryota; Metazoa; Chordata; Mammalia; Lagomorpha; Leporidae. The record is from Rfam by way of RNAcentral.
GGUGCUAUGGCUUAGUGGGUAAAGCUGUCGCCUACUGUGCCGGCAUCCCUUAAGGGCCCAGGUUCCAGUCCUGGCUGCUCCA